GAUGAACGCUGGCGGCGUGCCUAAUACAUGCAAGUCGAGCGAACAGACGAGGAGCUUGCUCCUCUGACGUUAGCGGUGGACGGGUGAGUAACACGUGGAUAACCUACCUAUAAGACUGGGAUAACUUCGGGAAACCGGAGCUAAUACCGGAUAAUAUAUUGAACCGCAUGGUUCAAUAGUGAAAGACGGUUUUGCUGUCACUUAUAGAUGGAUCCGCGCCGCAUUAGCUAGUUGGUAAGGUAACGGCUUACCAAGGCAACGAUGCGUAGCCGACCUGAGAGGGUGAUCGGCCACACUGGAACUGAGACACGGUCCAGACUCCUACGGGAGGCAGCAGUAGGGAAUCUUCCGCAAUGGGCGAAAGCCUGACGGAGCAACGCCGCGUGAGUGAUGAAGGACUUCGGAUCGUAAAACUCUGUUAUUAGGGAAGAACAAAUGUGUAAGUAACUAUGCACGUCUUGACGGUACCUAAUCAGAAAGCCACGGCUAACUACGUG
RNAcentral lists this ribosomal RNA (497 nucleotides) under uncultured bacterium. RNAcentral describes it as "partial 16S ribosomal RNA". It matches the Rfam family "Bacterial small subunit ribosomal RNA", at positions 28 to 507 of the family's 1533-position model. The record is from RNAcentral.